ACCUGAGACACUUUGCGAAGAAGUUAGACCCUCGCAGACAGACAGGCCACGAGAGGAACAAGUCUGUGGUGGACCUGAUGUUUGCUGCUUACAGUGGUGAUGUUUCAGCUCUCAGAAGAAUCGCUCUCUCUGCGGUUAAUAUGGAGUUGACUGACUAUGACACCCGUACCGCCCUGCAUGUGGCCUCAGCAGAAGG
Long non-coding RNA from Sinocyclocheilus anshuiensis, 196 nucleotides. RefSeq lists it as uncharacterized. NCBI's taxonomy places the organism in Eukaryota, Metazoa, Chordata, Actinopteri, Cypriniformes, Cyprinidae. The record is from RefSeq and is a predicted model, not a curated record. The transcript is spliced from 3 exons.